This 497-nucleotide ribosomal RNA is filed under the name uncultured bacterium. RNAcentral's name for it is "partial 16S ribosomal RNA". It matches the Rfam family "Bacterial small subunit ribosomal RNA", at positions 28 to 507 of the family's 1533-position model. The record is from RNAcentral.
GAUGAACGCUGGCGGCGUGCCUAAUACAUGCAAGUCGAGCGAACGGACGAGAAGCUUGCUUUUCUGAUGUUAGCGGCGGACGGGUGAGUAACACGUGGAUAACCUACCUAUAAGACUGGGAUAACUUCGGGAAACCGGAGCUAAUACCGGAUAAUAUUUUGAACCGCAUGGUUCAAAAGUGAAAGACGGUCUUGCUGUCACUUAUAGAUGGAUCCGCGCUGCAUUAGCUAGUUGGUAAGGUAACGGCUUACCAAGGCAACAAUGCAUAGCCGACCUGUGAGGGUGAUCGGCCACACUGGGACUGAGACACGGUCCAGACUCCUACGGGAGGCAGAAGUAGGGAAUCUUCCGCAAUGGGCGAAAGCCUGACGGAGCAACGCCGCGUGAGUGAUGAAGGUCUUCGGAUCGUAAAACUCUGUUAUUAGGGAAGAACAUAUGUGUAAGUAACUGUGCACAUCUUGACGGUACCUAAUCAGAAAGCAACGGCUAACUACGUG